RNAcentral lists this long non-coding RNA (695 nucleotides) under Androctonus crassicauda. Lineage: Eukaryota; Metazoa; Arthropoda; Arachnida; Scorpiones; Buthidae. The record is from RNAcentral.
AAAAAAUUUUUGAAGUAAAUAAUCUGAAAGAUUGAUUAUUUUAAUUAUUUAUGUAGUAAUUUCCUUAAUGAUAUGCUGCAAUUUGUUUACAAUUAAAAAGCUAUUUGUAAGUGACAGAAUUUUUUUAAUAUAAAAUUUUCACAUCUAAUUUAAAAAUCUAUUAUGCUUUAUUGAAUUUCAAUACACCUCUAUUAAAACACUUAAGUUUAAUAAUUUUCAAAUAUUUCUUGAAAAUGUUUUUUUUGUAAUAUAUGCUCUUACAAUUAUAAAUUCAAUGCAGGCUGCAAAAAUAGGCAUUGCAGAUCAUAAGUUUGAGACUGCAGGGAUAGAUGCAAUCACUAUUGUCCAUCUAGCUCUGGGAGCUGUUAAUUCAGAACUUUUGUUAAAAAAAUUAUUUUUCAAACUUUCACAAAAUUUAGGUUAUGUAAAAAAAAACUUUCAUCCCAGCUAUUUGUGUAAGGUGGGAUACUUGUAUUUGUGUUUAAUGAAAUAUGCAUAACAAGUUAAACUAUAUUUGCUUAAAUUUCAUUAAAGUAGUAGUUUAUUUAAUUAACUCUAUUUAAAAAAUAGUCAUAAAUUUUAUAUCUUUCUUUAAAAGUAUAUUUUGUUAAUAUUAGAAAAAAAUUUAAUUGAAAAUAUAUUUAUUCAAUUGUGAGAAACAAUGUAAAACUAUUUAUUUUAUAUUAGAAUUUCAG